Non-coding RNA from Ciona savignyi (Pacific transparent sea squirt), 72 nucleotides. Lineage: Eukaryota; Metazoa; Chordata; Ascidiacea; Phlebobranchia; Cionidae. The record is from Rfam.
UCCCAGGUGGUCUAGUGGUUAGGAUUGGUGGCUCUCACCCACGCUGCCCAGGUUCGAUUCCCGGUCUGGGAA